RNAcentral lists this ribosomal RNA (741 nucleotides) under uncultured bacterium. RNAcentral's name for it is "bacterial SSU rRNA". It matches the Rfam family "Bacterial small subunit ribosomal RNA", at positions 56 to 797 of the family's 1533-position model. The record is from RNAcentral.
UGCAGUCGACGGUAACAGGCCUUCGGGCGCUGACGAGUGGCGGACGGGUGASUAACGCGUAGGAAUCUGCCUGUUAGUGGGGGACAACGUGGGGAAACCCACGCUAAUACCGCAUACGCCCUACGGGGGAAAGGAGGGGAUCUUCGGACCUUUCGCUAACAGAUGAGCCUGCGUUAGAUUAGCUAGUUGGUAGGGUAAAGGCCUACCAAGGCGACGAUCUAUAGCUGGUCUGAGAGGACGAUCAGCCACACUGGGACUGAGACACGGCCCAGACUCCUACGGGAGGCAGCAGUGGGGAAUAUUGGACAAUGGGCGAAAGCCUGAUCCAGCAAUACCGCGUGUGUGAAGAAGGCCUUAGGGUUGUAAAGCACUUUCAAUUGGGAGGAAAACCUAUCGAUCAAUACCCGAUAGCUUGACAUUACCUUUAGAAGAAGCACCGGCUAACUCCGUGCCGGCAGCCGCGGUAAUACGGAGGGUGCGAGCGUUAAUCGGAAUUACUGGGCGUAAAGCGUGCGUAGGCGGUUCGUUAAGUCAGAUGUGAAAGCCCUGGGCUCAACCUAGGAACUGCAUUUGAAACUGGCGGACUAGAGUUUAGUAGAGGGGAGUGGAAUUUCAGGUGUAGCGGUGAAAUGCGUAGAUAUCUGAAGGAACACCAGUGGCGAAGGCGACUCCCUGGACUAGAACUGACGCUGAGGUACGAAAGCGUGGGUAGCAAACAGGAUUAGAUACCCUGGUAGUCCA